AGAAUCAACGCUGGCGGCGUGCCUAACACAUGCAAGUCGCACGAGAAAGGGACUUCGGUCCUGAGUACAGUGGCGCACGGGUGAGUAACACGUGAAUCAUCUACCUCCGAGUGGGGAAUAACCUAGAGAAAUCUGGGCUAAUACCGCAUAACACUUACGAGUCAAAGCAGCAAUGCGCUUGGAGAGGAGUUCGCGGCAGAUUAGUUAGUUGGCGGGGUAAUGGCCCACCAAGACGAUGAUCUGUAUCCGGCCUGAGAGGGCGCACGGACACACUGGAACUGAAACACGGUCCAGACUCCUACGGGAGGCAGCAGUGGGGAAUUUUGCGCAAUGGGGGAAACCCUGACGCAGCAACGCCGCGUGGAGGAUGAAAUAUCUUGGUAUGUAAACUCCUUUCGAUGGGGAAGAUAAUGACGGUACCCAGUAGAAGAAGCCCCGGCUAACUUCGCGCCAGCAGCCGC
This 461-nucleotide ribosomal RNA is filed under the name uncultured bacterium. RNAcentral's name for it is "SSU rRNA". It matches the Rfam family "Bacterial small subunit ribosomal RNA", at positions 26 to 518 of the family's 1533-position model. The record is from RNAcentral.